Molecule: non-coding RNA, 921 nt
Organism: Sus scrofa (pig)
Lineage: Eukaryota; Metazoa; Chordata; Mammalia; Artiodactyla; Suidae
Source: RefSeq, a predicted model, not a curated record
UCGGAUCCCUUGUUGCAUCAGAGGGUAAAGCCAAGCACUGAUUUUUUUGUUACAGUCCUCAGGUGAUUGUAAUAUGUAGUGGGGGGCUUGGAAACCUCGCCCCUCCUCUGCUUCUUCCACUUAGCGCGGCAUCCUCUUCCUGCUCUCUCUGUCUGCCUGCCUGCCCAAAGGGGCCAUACGGUCAGCUCCCGGGCCAUGGGGUAGACAGCAUGGUUGCUUCUUCCAGCAAGAGUGCCAAGAGUGUUGUGGUGGUCCAGAGCUGCUGGUGGAAUUCCAGGACCAGGAUGAAAGGAAGUCCCCACAAAGGAGAGGCCAACUAUGCAUCUGUUUUCUUUCAAAAUGACCAUUCAAGUAAAUUGGUAAUAUUUUUCUGGAAAAUAAUUACCCGUGUAUAUGAAAAUAUGAAAAGGCUGCCAAUUGUGGGGCGUUCAAAAUAAACCCCUGGGGUAGGAAAAAAUAUUCAAAUGUCCAUUGAAAACUUCAAAAUUAAUUUUUUGCCUGUUUUGUUAUGUAGAUAUAUAAAUUCAAAUUCAUUUGUAUUUAUAAAUACCAUAAAUACAAUAUAAUGAAGGAUAUAUUUGAUAUACAUUUUAUAUAUUAGAGUAAUAAUGUAUAUAAUUUGUAAGUAAUUCAAUAUAUAUGGGUCGGGGAUGGUUUAUAAUAAUAUUGAGGUGUUGUAAAAUUGGGUUGUAAUGAUGGUUGCACAACUAAGAAGAAAAAUAGCUAAGAAUAAAAAAUAAUGAUGAUAAUAUUGAGGGAUUGCUUAGCCAUACCUGGGAAAAGCCUUUAAUUUCUUUAUAUUCUUUGACCCAGCAAUUUAACUUCUUGGAAUGUAUUCAAUCUAUCCCAAAGAAAGAACUUGCGUGUGUAUAAAUAUUUCACUACAGGGAUAUUUUUCCAGAAGCUUGUGAGCAUUGAAAA